Juglans microcarpa x Juglans regia is the source of this 136-nucleotide long non-coding RNA. RefSeq lists it as uncharacterized. The transcript is spliced from 2 exons. Lineage: Eukaryota; Viridiplantae; Streptophyta; Magnoliopsida; Fagales; Juglandaceae. The record is from RefSeq and is a predicted model, not a curated record.
UAAUAAAUUCUCAUGCAUUAAGAAAGAUAAAAAGUUUUAAGACAGUGCCACGGAGUCAAGCGUGUUUCACUCCAUGUUAUGCAAGUUAAGUGAAACACAGACUCAAGUGUGUUUCACUCCAGGUAAUGCCAGUUAA